This 484-nucleotide ribosomal RNA is filed under the name uncultured bacterium. RNAcentral describes it as "bacterial SSU rRNA". It matches the Rfam family "Bacterial small subunit ribosomal RNA", at positions 23 to 505 of the family's 1533-position model. The record is from RNAcentral.
CUCAGGAUGAACGCUGGCUGUGUGCCUAAUACAUGCAUGUCGAACGAAGCACUUGUGCUUAGUGGCGAAUGGGUGAGUAACACGUACUUAAUCUGCCCUCAAGUCUGGGACAACAGUUGGAAACGACUGCUAAUACCGGAUAUGUAUUCUUAUCGCAUGAUAAGUUUAUAAAAGGAGCGUUUGCUUCGCUAGAGGAUGAGAGUGCGCCAUAUUAGCUAGUUGGUAGGGUAAGAGCCUACCAAGGCGAUGAUAUGUAGCGGGGUCGAGAGGCUGAACCGCCACACUGGGACUGAGAUACGGCCCAGACUCCUACGGGAGGCAGCAGUAGGGAAUAUUCCACAAUGAACGAAAGUUUGAUGGAGCGACACAGCGUGGAGGAUGAAGGUUUUCGGAUCGUAAACUCCUGUUAUAAGAGAAGAACAAGCUUAAAUAGGAAAUGAUUAAGCCCUGACGGUACCUUAUCAGAAAGCACCGGCAAACAUUU